Molecule: ribosomal RNA, 264 nt
Filed under: uncultured bacterium
Lineage: Bacteria
Description: partial 16S ribosomal RNA
Rfam family: Bacterial small subunit ribosomal RNA
Source: RNAcentral
GUCCACGCCCUAAACGAUGUCGACUGGUUGUUGGGGUUUGACACUCUCAGUAACGAAGCUAACGCGUGAAGUCGACCGCCUGGGGAGUACGGCCGCAAGGUUAAAACUCAAAGGAAUUGACGGGGACCCGCACAAGCGGUGGAUUAUGUGGAUUAAUUCGAUGCAACGCGAAAAACCUUACCUACCCUUGACAUGUCCGAGAGCCUGAAGAGAUUCAGGUGUGCCCGAAAGGGAAUCGGAACACAGGUGCUGCAUGGCUGUCGU